CUACAUUGGUUCCUACUUCAUUAAAACCUGUUUCUCAUAUAAAUAUUUCUACAGCAUUCUCAACGAUGAUUCCCAGUGAACAGAUUUUUCCACAUCUUGGCAGUAACAUUUCUUUAAUAACUAACAGUUCUGAAGCCCCUUUAAUUACUUCCACUUCAUUGCUUCCUGAAACAUCUGAUAAUGUGAUCAAUGAUAUAAAUAAUAAUUCUUUUAUGGGGGAUAGUCCAGCAGUUUCUUCUUUUUCUCCUGUUUUUACAUAUUCCAAUACUACUGAUAUUUUAGAAACUAUUCCUACAAAAGCCAUUACUUCAAUGGCAUCCAGUCCCGUUGUUAAUGGU
RNAcentral lists this long non-coding RNA (338 nucleotides) under Androctonus crassicauda. Lineage: Eukaryota; Metazoa; Arthropoda; Arachnida; Scorpiones; Buthidae. The record is from RNAcentral.